GUCUUUAUACUUGCAUUUUCUCUGAUUAGCAAGGCUAGCUAUGAAAAUAUAUCAAAAAAGAUCUUUGGGAAGAUAAGCAAUUCUUUGUAAACCACCCUGGUGUUGUGCCCAUUACAACAGCUCAGGUAUAUGUGGUGUUCCUAUGUUUGUAAAAUUAUUUUUUGGCCAUUGCGCACUUGUUUGCAUCUGUCAUUUCUAAAGUGUGUUAGUCCCUCCAAGAGAAACCUGACUUCCUAUCUUUUAAGGGGAGAGGAGCUGAAAAAGCUGAUUGGAGCUGCUGCUUACAAUGAAUGCAGUUCAAAAACCCAAUAUGUGGAUAUAUUUUAUUAUAAUCCUGUGUAUCUUCAUGUAAACUUCUGUAAUUACCUCACCAUUUAAUGGUUAUUAUAAAAAUUUUCCUUUUAUGCAACA
This is a non-coding RNA of Camellia sinensis, 411 nucleotides long. Lineage: Eukaryota; Viridiplantae; Streptophyta; Magnoliopsida; Ericales; Theaceae. The record is from RefSeq and is a predicted model, not a curated record.